This 472-nucleotide ribosomal RNA is filed under the name uncultured bacterium. RNAcentral describes it as "SSU rRNA". It matches the Rfam family "Bacterial small subunit ribosomal RNA", at positions 26 to 518 of the family's 1533-position model. The record is from RNAcentral.
AGAAUGAACGUUGGCGGCGUGGAUUAGGCAUGCAAGUCGGACGGGCCGCAAGGCCAGUGGCGCAAGGGUGAGUAAGGCGACGGUAACCAACCCCGCGGGUGGGCAUAGCCGAGGGAAACUUCGGGUAAUUCCCAGCGAUGCGGCGACCCGGCAUCGGGACGCCGCCAAAGAUUCAUCGCCGCGGGACGGGCCGUCGUGGUAUUAGCUGGUUGGUGGGGUGACGGCCCACCAAGGCUGCGAUGCCUACCGGGCGUGCGAGCGUGGCCCGGCACACUGGGACUGAGACACUGCCCAGACUCCUACGGGAGGCUGCAGUCGAGAAUCUUCGGCAAUGGGCGCAAGCCUGACCGAGCGACGCCGCGUGGAGGACGAAGGCCUUCGGGUUGUAAACUCCUGUCGAGGGGGAGGAAGCCGCGAAGGUUGACCGGAUCCCGUGGAGGAAGCACGGGGCUAAGUUCGCGCCAGCAGCCGC